AAAACUGGUAGCUGGUUUUCAAGAAGUAACUAUUAGAUCUUAUAACUAUAUGAUAUGCAAUUAGAUGCUUUUAUUAAUCAACCAAAAUGUCAAUUUUUUGGUUUUUGUUUAUGAUUUAUUAAUUAUUAAAUUUGUCUCCUAAUCUAGGAUAUUAUAGAAUUCUAUUUGAGUAUGCUGAAUGAACUUUAUUAUUGCAUUUUGAAUUCAU
RNAcentral lists this long non-coding RNA (208 nucleotides) under Lathyrus oleraceus (garden pea). Its description in RNAcentral is "Pisum sativum (pea) long non-coding RNA (PSAT_LNC028024)". The record is from RNAcentral. Lineage: Eukaryota; Viridiplantae; Streptophyta; Magnoliopsida; Fabales; Fabaceae.